UCACUGAUUUUUGGUUGAACCCAUAAUAUUGCUAAAUCUACAUCGAUGACUACGAAUAAACUAGCGUUGCUCUAAAGUUGUUUUGGCUAUCGAGGAUUUCUCAUCUGCUCAUCGCUAAUAUAAACUAACAUAUGGCGGAUUUGGCUAUUUUAAUCAGGUCAACUUAAAGAUUCUAGAUGUUAGUUUUUGAAUGGCACAAAAACAGAAGAUGGUGGGAGUUAUUUUUUCGAGGAAACACAUCAGAAAGCGAAAAUUUUCAGAUUCAUCCGCUGGGACAUAUAUGUUGAAGCGCGCAUACUUUGAUCCCGCUAGGCCGAAGCAAUGGGAAAAAAACAAAAUCCCCCAGAAUAUUUCCAAAUCAGUUUUAACACGUUUCGCGCAAGUCUCAAAAAAAUCCUUCUGGAAACGGCGGA
This is a long non-coding RNA of Uranotaenia lowii, 413 nucleotides long. RefSeq lists it as uncharacterized. The record is from RefSeq and is a predicted model, not a curated record. The transcript has 3 exons. NCBI's taxonomy places the organism in Eukaryota, Metazoa, Arthropoda, Insecta, Diptera, Culicidae.